RNAcentral lists this long non-coding RNA (1895 nucleotides) under Sus scrofa (pig). RNAcentral describes it as "lncRNA (ENSSSCG00050070571.1)". The record is from RNAcentral. Lineage: Eukaryota; Metazoa; Chordata; Mammalia; Artiodactyla; Suidae.
GUGGUAAAAUUCACACAAUAUAAAGUUAAUCAUUUUAAAGUAAACAACUCAGUACCAAGAAGUAUCCACAGUGCUGUGCAAACACUACCUCUAUCUACUUCCAAAAUAUUUUCCUAAUCCCAAAAGCAAACCCUGUACCCAUGAAGUUGUUACUCUCCAUUCUGCUUCCCUCCAGCCUCGGUCAAUCACUAAUAUGUUUUCUGUCUCUACGAAUUUGCCUAUUCCGGGUAUUUCAUAUAAGUGAAAUGAAUCAUAUAAUAUGUGACCUUUUGCAUCUGGCUCCUUUCACUUAGCAUCAUGUUUUUGAGUUUCAUCUAUGUUGUAGCAUGUAUCAAAACAUCAUUCCUUUUAUUAGUGGGGUUUUAAAAUGGUACCUUGUAUCAUGACACUCCCCUGCUUAAAAACCUCCAAAGGGUUUCAAAACAUUGUUCUUCCUUGCUGUGGCUUACAAAAGCUUCAAUAGGACCCUCAAACCCACUGUCCAACUUCUUGUACCAUCAAAUUGCCACCCUCUGACUCACUGGUCCUUGACCACAUCAGUUCUCAUCCACCUCAGAGCCUUUGCACAUGCUAUUCCCUCUGCCUGGGACACUAUUCCCCAUCCUGCCUGUUAGUGGAGACCUACUCACCUUUAGGUAUCACUUCCUUUGAGAAGCUGACCUCAACCCUCAGAACUAAUCAGAUCUCCAGGCAUCACGUGCUCCCAGCACCAUCUGCCUUUUCUCACGCAUCCCAAUGCGCAUCAUGCAUUUCCUUAUGUGGUUACUGAGUGCCUGUCUCCCCCAUGGCCUGUGCUCACCACACAGGGAAGAACCUGUAUCCCCAGCACCUAACACACAGCAGGCACUCCACAGUGGCAGAGCCAGGAUCCGAUGCCAGGUCCAUCCAAGUCCAUGUCCCCCAACUCAGGCUGGGACCACCCAACAUCCUCCAACUUGGAGUAAUUCUAAAGGGCAUGGCCCAGUUUCCACCUGUGAUUUGGGAUGACUCUUUAUCAGUAUCUUCCCAGCUAACUCACAACUAUGGUUCCCUUGAUGGCAGAGAUGUACCUAAUUUCUUUUGCUAGCCUCUGGCCACCUCUGCCUAGAUCUCACAGACAAGCCCUGCACUCAAAAGGCUCUCUAUUGAUACCCAUUUGCCAGCCUGCCUCUCAGAGCCUUCUUCACAAAGAUUGCCAAGGGAAGUCCCAAACUGGUGGUUAGUCUUUGCACCAUUUCCUCUCCCAAAAGUUUGCUGGAUUUUGAGUUAAGGCGAAUCACCGGCUCACAUGGCUCCAUGGCUUCCUUGAGUGUGCGGCUUUGUCCCCUUGAACACAAGCGCUUUCACUGGCCAAAUCCCUCAGCAUCUCAUUAAUGGGGUCUGGGGCAUCUGGCCCUGAUGGUUGGGAGGAAAUGGCAGGCCUAGGAACAGGAAGCCCCUCACGGGUGUGGCAGGAGGACAGGCUCAAGUACUCAUUCUCACACACACCCUGGGGCGUGAAUCUGGUAGCCACUGUCCCAAACAGGAAAAAAUGCCCACUGGCCUACCCCAGGACUGCACAAGCUGCCCUCCCUCUCAAACUGGGCCAUUUAAAUCCUUAGCAGUUGUCUCAAUCUGAACAGCCAAGAGGAGACCUCCAGGAAAGAUGAUUUUCAAAACCAAAGAAUAACACUAGUUCUCGAGAGAGAAGGGAUGGAGGCAGGGGUGACUUGGGGCUCUCAGCUCAGCUUCUCAGAGCCCAGGGAAGGGGGAAGUUUGGAAAAUCAAAGGGCUGCUAAGUCUAACACUGGAAGGAUGUUUACUGAGAAUCCAUUCUGCUCCCUGGCCACAGGCAACAACCCUCAAUUCUGGCUCAAGAAUGCUCCAGACACGGCAAGAAUUAAGAGGGGCCCUGGCCAAAAAAAAAAAAAAAAAAA